Molecule: unclassified non-coding RNA, 315 nt
Filed under: plant metagenome
Description: partial contains 5.8S ribosomal RNA, internal transcribed spacer 2, and large subunit ribosomal RNA
Rfam family: 5.8S ribosomal RNA (bases 1-105)
Source: RNAcentral
GAACUGCGAUAAGUAAUGUGAAUUGCAGAAUUCAGUGAAUCAUCGAGUCUUUGAACGCACAUUGCGCCCCCUGGCAUUCCGGGGGGCAUGCCUGUCCGAGCGUCAUUGCUGCCCAUCAAGCCCGGCUUGUGUGUUGGGUCGUCGUCCCCCCCGGGGGACGGGCCCGAAAGGCAGCGGCGGCACUGUGUCCGGUCCUCGAGCGUAUGGGGCUUUGUCACCCGCUCGACUAGGGCCGGCCGGGCGCCAGCCGACGUCUCCAACCAUUUUUCUUCAGGUUGACCUCGGAUCAGGUAGGGAUACCCGCUGAACUUAAGC